This 237-nucleotide long non-coding RNA is filed under the name Solanum tuberosum (potato). RNAcentral's name for it is "long non-coding RNA (STUB_LNC001979)". The record is from RNAcentral. Lineage: Eukaryota; Viridiplantae; Streptophyta; Magnoliopsida; Solanales; Solanaceae.
CCGAACUCAUUUAAACUCAACAUGUUGAACCCUUUCAACUCAUGGUGACUCUCAAUCGCGCUGAUGUCACAUUCCAUGUAAGAUAAUUUUUCCACAUCAUUUUUUAUUUUUUAUAAUAAUUUCUUUUUGGACAAAAAAUCAUAAAGUUUUGAUUCAAACUUAAAAAAAUAAUUAAUUAUUCUUCUAAAUUAAAAUUUUGGGUCUCCCUACAUCAUCUGCCAUUUUCACCGUGAAAAG